AAAGAUAAGCCAUGCUUCUGAAAUUUGAGAAGAAACAGAAAGAAGAUUGCUAUUCUUAGCUUGAUAGCACUGAAAAUGUUUCCUAGAAGAGAAAAUGUUCCUUUUCCUUAAGAAACCAAGCUGAUACAUGCUCAAACCCAUUACCAUGGGAAAUUCAAAUCCCUUGCUGGAAAAUACAGAAAAAUUCAAACUCUUUUCUUCAGCUACCUUGUUGGUUAUAAAAAUACAGAAAUCCAGAGAACUAAUCAUAAUCUUCUAAACCUAGCUACUUAAAAAAAAAUUAUCUAUGUUGCUACAUUCUUUAUUAGAGAACCUGUCCACCAUUUCUUCUGUAACAAUGGUGUGGAAACAUCUUUCCAAGCAGACAAGUAGUAAAGCGGUCAGGUCUAACUUGCACAUGGCAAAGUGUCAUAAGGUGGAAGAAGAGAUAGAGCAGCAGGUGGGACAAAUGUUUAUCAGCUUUUCUGACAAAGACAUGAUGAGAUUGAGCAGUAGUGGGGAGUUGGUUGAACUGAGUGCUGGAGGAUGCUCCUGCUCCCAAGCUGUGAGAGUAACUACACACUGGAAGAGCACAACAGGCUGGGCAGGAUAUCCUACACCUUCGAAUGAGCCCUUUAACAAAACACCAAUACAAAGGCUGCCCUGUGACUCCCUGGAGCCCUCCCACCAGCUCUGGAGUAGUUCAUUUCAACAAACAGAAUGGAUCCCCUCAACAUGUUGUGAUGGGUGCAAAGCCAGCUGACUGCUGUGCCCUUCCUGUUAUUCUGGGACAGGAGUCAGACUUGGUGCCGAGCCCAGGCUGGGAUGGCUCUGCCAAAGGUCACCGCCAGCCCUCGCUGCGUGUGGCUCGCUGAUGUCAGCCCUGCUUCACCUGGAGAGGAACUGUGGGCAAAACACACCGAUGAGCACGCGGAUCACUCACCCAGCUGUGCCCAGCCUUGUUUUCCAGAGUCACAGCUUGGAGAAAGGCUGGGGCUUCUUGGCAUUGGAAACAAAAAUCUUUUGUUUAUAGACCAAGCAAUAGCAGCAUCAUCUUUCCUCAAACUGACCUGCCAGCACUCAGCUCUGUCUUCUGCCACCUUUAGGGCACAGUGGAGUGCAGGCUCCACAGCCCAUUCAGUUUUCCAUCUCGUGGAGAAGGCUACCAACAAAAGUACCGAGAAGUGCCAGCUGCAUCACCACUGGCAAGCUUAAUAAAGUAAACAUGGACAGUGAUUAUGUCACUGCAGAAGAGAACUGUUGUGCUAGAGCCAGGAAGCUGGCCACAAAGAUGUGGAAAGGAAGAUUUACCAAGUCCUAACACCAUGGGAGCACAGGGGUCAGAAUUACUCUCUUCAACAUUCCCUGAAACCAUCAUUUUACUUCUACUUACCCUAGCAACCACACAUUAAGGAAUACAGUCAUGGAACUCACUGCAGAGCACUGCAGUAUUGGAGUGGCCACACCUGCAGGAGAGGAUCCCCAGCACUACCCACUGGCAAACACAAGCGAAACAACACACUUCCCAUUCUGGUCCCAGGCAUGUCCUUACUCCACCUGCUUCUACAGAGAUUUGCAUUAACUGCUGUUCAAAAUCAGUGGUACUGACGUAGCAUCAUGAUUAUGUAGCAAAAUAUAUCAUCCAAUCAAUUUGGAUCACUGCAAAUACCC
Molecule: long non-coding RNA, 1650 nt
Organism: Ficedula albicollis (Collared flycatcher)
Lineage: Eukaryota; Metazoa; Chordata; Aves; Passeriformes; Muscicapidae
Exons: 3
Source: RefSeq, a predicted model, not a curated record